UUAAUUGAAACCAAAGUAGAGGUAUGUCACUGUUAAUGACAAAACUGAGAUUAAUCUCCAAUUAAA
RNAcentral lists this transfer RNA (66 nucleotides) under Cymbiodyta marginella. RNAcentral describes it as "tRNA-Asn". The record is from RNAcentral. Lineage: Eukaryota; Metazoa; Arthropoda; Insecta; Coleoptera; Hydrophilidae.